CGGAGCGGUCCAAACGAUCGCUGGAUCAUUUUUUUGAUUCAGAGGAAAGUCCGAACACCGCAGGGCAGGGUGCUCCAUAACAUGGAGUCGCGGCAACGUGAAGGAAAGUGCAACAGAAAGUAUACCGCCCGGCGCUUGAUUUUCAUUUUAUGAAAAUUAAGCGUCUGGUAAGGGUGAAAAGGUGCGGUAAGAGCGCACCAGUUCUUCGGGUGACCGGAGAAGCUUUGUAAACCCCACCUGGUGCAAGACCAAAUAGAGGAGUGCUUGAGGAUUGCCCGUCCAAGCUCCUGGGUAGGUCGCAAGAGAUGUCGGAUAACCGGCAUCCUUAGAUGAAUGAUCGUUACCCGGUCCGGGGUAACCCGAACCGGGCACAGAAUUCGGCUUAUAGACCGCUCCGGCCG
Molecule: RNase P RNA, 401 nt
Filed under: Desulfobacteraceae bacterium
Lineage: Bacteria; Pseudomonadati; Thermodesulfobacteriota; Desulfobacteria; Desulfobacterales; Desulfobacteraceae
Description: RNase P RNA component class A
Rfam family: Bacterial RNase P class A
About the family: Ribonuclease P (RNase P) is a ubiquitous endoribonuclease, found in archaea, bacteria and eukarya as well as chloroplasts and mitochondria. Its best characterised activity is the generation of mature 5'-ends of tRNAs by cleaving the 5'-leader elements of precursor-tRNAs.
Source: RNAcentral